AUGCAAGUCGAGCGCCCCGCAAGGGGAGCGGCAGACGGGUGAGUAACGCGUGGGAACGUACCUUUUGCUACGGAAUAACUCAGGGAAACUUGUGCUAAUACCGUAUGUGCCCUUCGGGGGAAAGAUUUAUCGGCAAAGGAUCGGCCCGCGUUGGAUUAGCUAGUUGGUGAGGUAAAGGCUCACCAAGGCGACGAUCCAUAGCUGGUCUGAGAGGAUGAUCAGCCACACUGGGACUGAGACACGGCCCAGACUCCUACGGGAGGCAGCAGUGGGGAAUAUUGGACAAUGGGCGCAAGCCUGAUCCAGCCAUGCCGCGUGAGUGAUGAAGGCCCUAGGGUUGUAAAGCUCUUUCACCGGUGAAGAUAAUGACGGUAACCGGAGAAGAAGCCCCGGCUAACUUCGUGCCAGCAGCCGCGGUAAUACGAAGGGGGCUAGCGUUGUUCGGAUUUACUGGGCGUAAAGCGCACGUAGGCGGACUUUUAAGUCAGGGGUGAAAUCCCGGGGCUCAACCCCGGAACUGCCUUUGAUACUGGAAGUCUUGAGUAUGGUAGAGGUGAGUGGAAUUCCGAGUGUAGAGGUGAAAUUCGUAGAUAUUCGGAGGAACACCAGUGGCGAAGGCGGCUCACUGGACCAUUACUGACGCU
Molecule: ribosomal RNA, 644 nt
Filed under: Ochrobactrum sp. E916
Lineage: Bacteria; Pseudomonadati; Pseudomonadota; Alphaproteobacteria; Hyphomicrobiales; Brucellaceae
Description: bacterial SSU rRNA
Rfam family: Bacterial small subunit ribosomal RNA
Source: RNAcentral